Molecule: ribosomal RNA, 253 nt
Filed under: uncultured bacterium
Lineage: Bacteria
Description: partial 16S ribosomal RNA
Rfam family: Bacterial small subunit ribosomal RNA
Source: RNAcentral
UACAGAGGCCUCGAGCGUUGUUCGGAAUUACUGGGCGUAAAGAGUGUGUAGGCGGUGCUCCCAGUCUGUUGUGAAAUCUCCCGGCUUAACUGGGAGGGUGCAGCGGAAACUAGAGUGCUAGAGGGUGGGAGAGGUAAGCGGAAUUCCUGGUGUAGCGGUGAAAUGCGUAGAUAUCAGGAGGAACACCUGUGGUGUAGACAGCUUACUGGACCACUUCUGACGCUGAGACACGAAAGCGUGGGUAGCAAACAGG